CCUACGGGCGGCAGCAGUGGGGAAUAUUGGACAAUGGGGGCAACCCUGAUCCAGCCAUGCCGCGUGUGUGAAGAAGGCCCUCGGGUUGUAAAGCACUUUCAGUGAGGAAGAACGCCUGGUGGUUAAUACCCAUCAGGAAAGACAUCACUCACAGAAGAAGCACCGGCUAACUCCGUGCCAGCAGCCGCGGUAAUACGGAGGGGUGCGAGCGUUAAUCGGAAUUACUGGGCGUAAAGCGCGCGUAGGUGGCUUGAUAAGCCGGUUGUGAAAGCCCCGGGCUCAACCUGGGAACGGCAUCCGGAACUGUCAAGCUAGAGUGCAGGAGAGGAAGGUAGAAUUCCCGGUGUAGCGGUGAAAUGCGUAGAGAUCGGGAGGAAUACCAGUGGCGAAGGCGGCCUUCUGGACUGACACUGACACUGAGGUGCGAAAGCGUGGGUAGCAAACAGGAUUAGAUACCCUAGUAGUC
RNAcentral lists this ribosomal RNA (466 nucleotides) under Vreelandella stevensii. RNAcentral's name for it is "partial 16S ribosomal RNA". It matches the Rfam family "Bacterial small subunit ribosomal RNA", at positions 338 to 795 of the family's 1533-position model. The record is from RNAcentral. Lineage: Bacteria; Pseudomonadati; Pseudomonadota; Gammaproteobacteria; Oceanospirillales; Halomonadaceae.